Molecule: ribosomal RNA, 492 nt
Filed under: uncultured bacterium
Lineage: Bacteria
Description: partial 16S ribosomal RNA
Rfam family: Bacterial small subunit ribosomal RNA
Source: RNAcentral
AGUGAACGCUGGCGGUAGGCCUAACACAUGCAAGUCGAACGGCAGCACAGUAAGAGCUUGCUCUUACGGGUGGCGAGUGGCGGACGGGUGAGGAAUACAUCGGAAUCUACUUUUUCGUGGGGGAUAACGUAGGGAAACUUACGCUAAUACCGCAUACGACCUACGGGUGAAAGCAGGGGAUCUUCGGACCUUGCGCGAUUGAAUGAGCCGAUGUCGGAUUAGCUAGUUGGCGGGGUAAAGGCCCACCAAGGCGACAAUCCGUAGCUGGUCUGAGAGGAUGAUCAGCCACACUGGAACGGAAACACGGUCCAGACUCCUACGGGAGGCAGCAGUGGGGAAUAUUGGACAAUGGGCGCAAGCCUGAUCCAGCCAUACCGCGUGGGUGAAGAAGGCCUUCGGGUUGUAAAGCCCUUUUGUUGGGAAAGAAAAGCAGCAGGUUAAUACCCCGCUGUUCUGACGGUACCCAAAGAAUAAGCACCGGCUAACUUCGUG